Molecule: long non-coding RNA, 1110 nt
Organism: Parambassis ranga (Indian glassy fish)
Lineage: Eukaryota; Metazoa; Chordata; Actinopteri; Ambassidae
Source: Ensembl
AUGUCACCUUCAUCAUUACAAAGUAGCACAGAGCCCAGUGGGCUAACACAGGUUGGCCUUGAGCCCGACCCAGAAGCCAUGGCUUUCCCCUCAAGCGGAUCUUCACAUGACCCAACAACAGGCAGCCUCAUGAAGCCACGCAGGGUUCGGAUGCUCAGGAGGAGCUGGAGCACCUUAAUGCCAGGUUCCAGGAGCUUAGAAGUACUAUUAGAAAAGACCAAAGCCACUCUUACAGGGAAGCAGGAAGGUCAGUCUAAAGAUCCCCCAAAAGUGUGGAGGACAUUCUCUGCCAAAACCUUACCCAAAAGCUUGUCCCAGGGUUCAGUCGCCUCUACUUUAUCGGGUAGACGGCAGCCAAGAGGGGUCUCUCCAUUGCUGCCAGAGUCAACAACAGUGAGGACGGAUGCAGGUACAUGGAGGUGCCAUGGGCCGUUCAGUCACUGCUUCCUCAGGACAAAGUCAAACAGUGCUGAUGAAGAUAGAGAGAUGCCCUUACUUGAUAGGAAGGGAGAUACUAAGUUGAAAGGGGCCACGCCUAUGAACAACAUGAACCUAGAAGCAAGGUUAGCUCACAUAAAUUCAAUGAAGGGAAAAACAUACAGCCUUCACACAGGGUUCGCACUUGCACGGAAGGAUGCCUUAGAGAUGAUCGGUGUGCUACGAUCCAGUGUACGGCAGAUGUCCAGAGGUGACAUGCCGGAAGUCAACGAAGCUGACAUGGAAAACUUCUCCCAGCUGCUGUUCAUGCAGGCCAAAGUGCUGAGUGGUGCCUGCAGUCAGAUGGCCACGGAGUAUAGCAGCCCAGAGGAGCUGCUGCUCACUCUGACGCACAGCUUCCACACACUGUGUUGCUUAACACAAGCCUGCAUGUCGCUGGUGGAGGGCCUGGGUAUCGAAAGGGAACGGCGCGAGGUGGUAGCCAAGGUGGAUGCGGUCGUCAUGAACUACGUUUGUCUGCUAAAAGCUGCUGAGGCAGCUUCGGGAGCCUCCCCUUGUGACCAAAGUGUGAAUGCAUUGACACAUUACUCUGCCACCAUGUCUGCUAUUAUAAACACACUAACUCACUCACUGAAAACACUGCUCAACAAAAAAACUGUUAUUUUGUCCUGA